This is a long non-coding RNA of Balaenoptera acutorostrata (minke whale), 462 nucleotides long. RefSeq lists it as uncharacterized. NCBI's taxonomy places the organism in Eukaryota, Metazoa, Chordata, Mammalia, Artiodactyla, Balaenopteridae. The transcript is spliced from 3 exons. The record is from RefSeq and is a predicted model, not a curated record.
AGCAGCCAAGGACUGGCCUGGGACCAGAAGAGGCCAGUGAUGAAGAGGCCAGUAGGAGAGCCCGAAGAAUUGCUGGGACUUUUUAGUGCUUUUCCUAAAGCUUCUGAGAAGCCCCCUUCCUUUACAGAUUUUUGUUUUGAUUCGUUUGAUUCGUUUAAGUCCUUCAAUUAGACUUCUAGACUUCAUGGGGCUUUGCCUUAGUGAUGUCAUAAGGGUAUCUGAGGGAUGGUGAUUAGAGUGGUUCACGAGAAGCUGACCCAUCGCAGCAUCACCUCCUCACGUUACAAGGUAAGACAGCGUUACCAGGAUCAAGACCCAGGAAUGUCUCACCAGUGAGGCUGUGCUGAGCACAGUCAGCAGCGGCAUUGUCUCUGCUGUGGAGGUCUUCACAACCAUGUGUUGUGUGUUGAGACAGGUCAGCUCCUUCCCAUACUCUUGGGAGAGAGUUCUUGUCAUUGAGUA